Molecule: long non-coding RNA, 537 nt
Organism: Lucilia sericata (common green bottle fly)
Lineage: Eukaryota; Metazoa; Arthropoda; Insecta; Diptera; Calliphoridae
Exons: 2
Source: RefSeq, a predicted model, not a curated record
CCUCUUUCUUCUACAGGUCCUACGGCUAUGGAGUUGGCAGGUGUUGCAGUGGGGUUUCCGUCGUCCGUAUUCUGUCCAGGUCCGGGUAAUUCAGGUCAGUUUGCAAAAAUUUUAAAUAUCUUUUAAAUAAUUAUUUAUAUAUAUUUAUUUUUUUUUUACAUAUAUAUACGUAUAAAAAUACUGAGCUACUGGGUGCAAAUCUGCCGCAAAUUCUUCUAAAAAACUAGGCCUGAGCUCAACCCUAACGUCGCGCACGCUUAGCGGUAAUUUUUGGCCAGCGGUCUGGUCCGAUCCUAACCAAUGGUACUGUCAGUCCGUCUUGUCGUUCAGGGUCAAAAAUCUUUAUGGUCGAAACCUUUGGUAUACCUGCGCACCCCAGGAUUGGCAGUGCGGAGCCGAUGUUCCCAAAUGAAAGAUCCCACGUUGGAAGUCGGCAGAGGUGGCGUUGAAAUAUUUGUAUAACCUUUUUUUUUUUUUGGUGUUCAAUUUAUAUAAUUUAUAUUAUAUUGUUUGAUUUAAAUAAAGACUUUAAAAAUG